RNAcentral lists this ribosomal RNA (253 nucleotides) under uncultured bacterium. Its description in RNAcentral is "partial 16S ribosomal RNA". It matches the Rfam family "Bacterial small subunit ribosomal RNA", at positions 524 to 776 of the family's 1533-position model. The record is from RNAcentral.
GACGUAGGAGGCGAGCGUUGUCCGGAUUCAUUGGGCGUAAAGAGCACGCAGGCGGUUUGGCAAGUCGGAUGUGAAAACCCGAAGCUCAACUUCGGGCCUGCAUCCGAAACUGCCCGACUAGAGGUAGGUAGGGGAGAUCGGAAUUCCUGGUGUAGCGGUGAAAUGCGCAGAUAUCAGGAGGAACACCGGUGGCGAAGGCGGAUCUCUGGGCCUUACCUGACGCUCAGGUGCGACAGCGUGGGGAGCAAACAGG